CCAUAUGCAGAGUUCUCUUACAACAAUAGUUACCAAACCAGUUUAAAGAUGGCCCCUUUCGAAGCAUUGUAUGGAAGGAGGUGCAGGACACCGUUAUCGUGGGAUGAAGUUGGAGACCGCCAGUUGUUUGGACCUGACUUGAUUAAAGAGUCUGAACAGAAGGUGAAGUUGAUUCGCGAUAGGCUCAAGGUAGCCCAGUCCAGACAGAAAAGUUAUGCAGAUUCUAAAUGCAAGGAAACAGUUUACGAAGUCGGGGAUAGAGCUUAUCUUCGAGUAUCUCCACUUCAGGGAACAAAGCGUUUUGGAGUUAAAGGGAAGUUAGCGCCAUGA
RNAcentral lists this ribosomal RNA (330 nucleotides) under Triticum aestivum (bread wheat). RNAcentral's name for it is "partial small subunit ribosomal RNA". The record is from RNAcentral. Lineage: Eukaryota; Viridiplantae; Streptophyta; Magnoliopsida; Poales; Poaceae.